This 161-nucleotide ribosomal RNA is filed under the name Scorzonera cana. It matches the Rfam family "5.8S ribosomal RNA". From Rfam's summary of the family: 5.8S ribosomal RNA (5.8S rRNA) is a component of the large subunit of the eukaryotic ribosome. It is transcribed by RNA polymerase I as part of the 45S precursor that also contains 18S and 28S rRNA. Functionally, it is thought that 5.8S rRNA may be involved in ribosome translocation. The record is from RNAcentral. Lineage: Eukaryota; Viridiplantae; Streptophyta; Magnoliopsida; Asterales; Asteraceae.
AAAUGACUCUCGGCAACGGAUAUCUCGGCUCACGCAUCGAUGAAGAACGUAGCAAAAUGCGAUACUUGGUGUGAAUUGCAGAAUCCCGUGAACCAUCGAGUUUUUGAACGCAAGUUGCGCCUAAAGCCAUCCGGUUGAGGGCACGCCUGCCUGGGCGUCAC